RNAcentral lists this long non-coding RNA (7893 nucleotides) under Salmo salar (Atlantic salmon). RNAcentral describes it as "lncRNA (ENSSSAG00000107587.1)". Lineage: Eukaryota; Metazoa; Chordata; Actinopteri; Salmoniformes; Salmonidae. The record is from RNAcentral.
CGUCAUCGAAUGGUUGUUUCGUUGGUCUUCGCGUUCAAUGAUAUAAUUUACUUAGCUGCAGACUAAUAAUUAAUAUCUAAGACUUGUUCUUAUUCUGUCGGUCUCGAUAGUCUAAAAGUUAACCACGUGGUAUAGUUCACUUUCAGUAGAGUACUUGGAUGGUCAAACCUCUGGCCAUAGAGUGUAGGCCUGGUCUGAAGAAAUGUAAAUCAGGGGGUGUUUUAUAGUGCCCAUAGAACAGCUUGUCAAAUGACGCCUGGUCCUGUAUGGGUCUCUGGGGGCGUGCCUAUGACUGAGUUAGAUUUGGUUACAGAAAUACAAUUCUAUCACAUUACAUCAGUACAUAGCAUCUCAAUGUCUUACAAAAGCUUUAUCCUUAUUAAUACAUUCUAUACAACCAUUAUGAUGCUAUUAUAUAAACAGUUUUAUGGUAAUAUGGCUAUAUUGUCUCUUCUGAGUAUCACAAAAUUGUACCAAGCGGAUCAGUUCGUAGCUGGAUUCUUCACCAAUCUUCCAUACCUUCUCCAGAACACAAAAUGUCGCUUGGCUCUCCAAUUCUAUGAGUUGGAAGAAUUUCCUGUGUCUCUCUAUGGGCCAUGUGGCCAGAGACUCUCUAGGGAAUUUUAGAGUUUUUACGACCCUUUACACACAGGGUGGAUUGGGGGGAAGGUAGGGGGUGGUUUUGCAGAAGGGAGGGGGUCAACUGUCCUCCCUGUACCAAAAGAGGCCAACGUCAUGACACUAUACAACGUUUGACAUGUUUGAACGAACGUAAAUAUAUUUUUUCCCCUCGUUCAUGAAGUGAAGUCCGGCGGGCUUAGAUCAUGUGCUAACAACACGGAGCUUUUUGGACAUAAAUGAUGAGCUUUUUUGAACAAAACUACAUUCGUUAUGGACCUGGGAUCCCUGGAAGUGACAUCUGAUGAAGAGAAUCAAAGGUAAUGGAUUAUUUACAUAGUAUUUUAGAUUUUAGAUCUCUCCAACAUGGCGGUUAGUCUGUAUCGCAAAGCGUAUUUUUCUGGGCGCAGUGCUCAGAUUAUUGCAAAGUGUGAUUUCCCAGUAAGGUUAUUUUUAAAUCUGGCAAGUCGAUUGCGUUCAAGAGAUGUAAAUCUAUAAUUCUUUAAAUGACAAUAUAAUAUUUUACCAAUGUUUUCUAAUAUUAAUGAUUUAAUUUGUUGUGCUGACUUGACUGCCGGUUAUUGGAGGGAAACGAUUUCCUGAACAUCAACGCCAUAGUAAAACGCUAUUUUUGGAUAUAAAUAUGAACUUGAUAGAACUAAAAAUGCAUGUAUUGUCUAACAUAAUGUCCUAGGAGUGUCAUCUGAUGGAGAUUGUCAAAGGUUAGUGCAUAACUUCAGCUGAUUUUGUGGUUUUGGUGAUGCCUGUCUUUGAAUUGACAAAACAUUACACACAGCUAUUGUCAAUGUACUCUCCUAACAUAAUCUAUCUUUAUGCUUUCGCCGUAAAACCUUUUUGAAAUCGGACAAUGUGGUUAGAUUAAGGAGAUGUUUAUCUUUCAAAGGGUGUAAGAUAGUUGUAUGUUUGAAAAAUUUGAAUUUUGACAUUUAUUUGGUUUCAAAUUUGCCGCUCUUGAAAUGCACCUGCUGUUGAUAGGGUGCACCACGGGUGGCACGCUAGCGUCCCACAUAGCCCCAAGAGGUUAACACACUAGCAAGUUCGAAACAAACCCCACUCCUCAUUCACUGCACAUAGAACCCCAUCCAAUCCCUCUCAAAAUCCCCCAGAUGGUUUUCCAUCCUCCCAUAUGCAUACUCCAGUGUGAGCCGAGCCGGCAUAAGUACUAGCAGCACAGCUCUGGGGUCUAUACACCCCGCCACAUGCAUCUCAUGUUUCCUGGCACACUGCCAUUUUUAACUGUCCCAACCAGUAGUUUACUAGGCAGUCCCUUCACCUAUUGGCUACGCUAUACGUAGGCCCGCCAAUAAAUGGGUCCAGAGUCAGACCCAAAAACAAAAGUAGGGUGGUUGGUCGGGGUGGAGGGAGGGCUUAUAACAUGAUUAUCUAGCAACCAAAAGGUUGUGAGAUCCAAUCUCAUCACGGACAACUUCAGAAUUUUUGCUAAUUAGCAACUUUUCAACUACUUACUACUUUUUAGCUACUUUGCAACUACUCAGCAUGUUAGCUAACCCUGACCCUAACCUUCUCUAUGAGAGGCUUAUACAGGGAGCGCCAACAUCCUCUCAGAGAGGAGCCACGUUCCCAACCCCCGUCCCUCUACCACCCUGUUGCCCUCAGCCCAUGCAGAUGGUCUUUCUGAGCCACCUUCACAGCUACCAUGUACAGAGCCUUUUUGCUGUGCAAAAGGUUCCCAGCUUUGGAGUCUUGAACGAUAGGAUCAUUCCCUCACCCUACUGGUAUUCUCUGCAGUGGCAGCAAUUGUGAAAGGAGGUAGAUCAGUGUCAUUAGUGGUUAGACGGUUCCAGUCUCCCUAGCGGCUCUCUGAAUGAGCCCGGAAGUGCAGCAUGGACCCCCUCCACCUCCUGCUGCAGCAGCCUGGCUGACCUUGUGGAUGAAGCCUCCGCGAUGUCGCUGGCAGAUUUCCACCCAGCCUCUUCUUCCAGGUCACCCAACUUAGUGAUCCCCGCUCUCACAAGCCUGGCUUGCAAGCUGGCGGAGGUCAACACUCUGGACUGGAUGAAUAGGUUGUGCAACGGUGGCUUCUCCAUUAUCCAUGGCCAUGAAACAUCUCUGUGAGCAGAUACCAAGGUCAUACCCAAGGUCCUGUGCUCUCCUCAGAACAGCCCAAGCACUGUCCCUGCAGCACACACCCUUCUGGUACAGAAGUCUCUUUGCAGCUUUAAGACGGAAAGCUGUCACUCUGGACCCAAUAUCCACCAGCCCUUGGCCCCCGUGAUGCAAAGGGAGAUGUAACACUUCUGCAUGUGGCCAGUGUUGACCAAAAUAAAUCCACCUGUGACCUCUGCAGUUGCUAGACGAGACUCUGUGGGGUUCCAACACCAUCAGCCUGUGAUAGAUCAUUGAAGCCGCCAAGUUAUUGGUGACCAGUGGCAACAACCACCGCCAUUUAGACAACUUAACUGCAACCUUGUCCACCAGCCCCUCCCAGUUUCUCUCCUGAAACUCUGAGGCCCCCAAGAACACCCUUAAGAACAUCUCUUCUCUGCCCCACUGUAGCCCCCCAGGAAGACUAGGAGAUCCUGCUAUGACCCAGUGUAACCCCCCAGGAAGCCUAGGAGAUCCUGCUCUGACCCACUGUAACCCCCCCAGGAAGACCAGGAGAUCCUGCUCUGACCCACUGUAGCCCCCCAGGAAGACUAGGAGAUCCUGCUCUGACCCACUGUAGCCCCCCAGGAAGACUAGGAGAUCCUGCUCUGACCCACUGUAACCCCCCAGGAAGACUAGGAGAUCCUGCUCUGACCCACUGUAGCCCCCAAGGAAGACUAGGAGAUCCUGCUCUGACCCACUGUAACCCCCCCAGGAAGCCUAGGAGAUCCUGCUCUGACCCACUGUAACCCCCCAGGAAGACUAGGAGAUCCUGCUCUGGCCCACUGUAACCCCCCAGGAAGACUAGGAGAUCCUGCUCUGACCCACUGUAACCCCCCAGGAAGACUAGGAGAUCCUGCUCUGACCCACUGUAGCCCCCCAGGAAGACUAGGAGAUCCUGCUCUGACCCACUGUAGCCCCCCAGGAAGACUAGGAGAUCCCACUCUUCUCCCAGGUCACCUUAGCUGAUACCAUCACCUCAAACAACAAUAAAGCCUUGCUAAACUCUUCUACAUCUCCCUCCCCUUUAAAAACACUGUUACAUCAUCAGCAGAAGCCGACAAUGAAACCGUCUCCGACAAUCCAACUACUGCGCCUGGAACUGACAACCCCUGCAGCCUCUCCCUCAGCCUACUACCCCUGGAACGGACAACCCCUGCAGCCUCUCCCUCAGCCUACUACACCUGGGACUGACAACACCUGCAGCCUCUCCCUCAGCCUACUACACCUGGGACUGACAACCCCUGCAGCCUCUCCCUCAGCCUACUACCCCUGGAACUGACAACCCCUGCAGCCUCCCCCUUAGCCUACUACCCCUGGAACUGACAACCCCUGCAGCCUCUCCCUCAGCCUACUACCCCUGGAACUGACAACCCCUGCAGCCUCUCCCUCAGCCUACAACCCCUGCAGCCUCUCCCUCACCAAACUACCCCUGCAGCCUCUCCCUCAGCCUACAACCCCCCGCAGCCACUCCCUCAGCCUACACAGCAGUGUUUCUACGGCUAAACUGUAGAGCUGACUCGAGAGUGGACACCCCUGCCAAAUCCCUCUCUUAACUGGGACUGGCUGGCUCAGCUGACCCCCACUUUUACCAUAACAGAAGCCCCACAGUACAAUAACUUGACCCAUGAUCUAAACCUGCUACCCAGGCCAAACACUUCCAAACAGAUACGCAUGACACACUCUACCAAAAGCCUUUUCUAGAUCUAUCGAAGUGAGUCCCAGAUCCUGAUCAUACAUCCUAGUGAUGUCUAUCACAUUUUAAAAAAUGUAACCUUUAUUUAAAUAGGCAAGUCAAUUAAGAACAAAUUCUUAUUUACAAUGACGGCCUACUCUGGCCAAACUCAGACGACGCUGAGCCAAUUGUGCACCGCCCUAUGGGACUCCCAAUCACGGCUGGAUGUGAUACAGCCUGGAUCUCCCACAUCUCUCAAAAGAAACACGUUGUCCAUUAUUGUCCGCCCAGGCACACAGUAUGCCUGGACCCUGUGAACUAUUGUGUCCAAACAACCUUUCAGCCGAUUUGCCAAACACCAUGUAAUGCAAGCCAAGCAAUGACACCAGCCUCCAGUUCUUCAAUAUAGGGAAGUCCCCAUUGUUCGGCAGCAGUGACAGCACUACCCACUGGCAGCUGACUGGUAGCACAGAGUUAUAAUACUCAGAUGUCAGCCCAUCGACCCAUGGCACACAGCCUGGGGAGAGCUGCUGCACAGCGACUGUUAGUUCCUGAAACUAAAGUUCCCCCUCCAGCCCAACACUCUGCUCAGGCCUGAGCUUAGGCGACCCCUCUAAAUUCUCCUGAGCACACAGUGUUGCUGUCACCGUAGAGGUCUGCGUAGAAGACCAUAGUCAUCCUCCUCAUCUCUGUUGGAUCCAACGUCAGAGACCCUGAAGGAUGCCUGAUCUUGUAAAAAAGACCCCAGCUGCGUCCGCUUAGCCCUCAAACUUCGUCUCUGACCCUGAGUCAAUGUCUCUAAUAUCCGGCUCCAACCUCUGAAUAGUAGACCUUAUCCUAGCUGGCGCAGAGUACUGCUCAAAAAUCAUUCUUUAACUUGUCUCCUCCCUUUCAUCUACACUGAUUGAAGUGCAUUUAACAAGUGACAUCAAUAAGGGAUCAUAUCUUCCAUCUGGUCAGUCUAUGUCAUGGAAAGAACAGGAGUUCUUAACAUGUGAUGUUUCUGAGAUGCCACUAGAGCAAAUCUUGGAGCCCAAAACCCUCUUUCUCCCUUACUGACAUAGAUCCUAUGUAGCCUUGCUGCACUAAUCUUCCCCUUCACUACCUUCACACAUGUAUAGAUCCUGUCUCCACACGUCUACUAGUCCAUGCUGUUUCAACACAUUGGUUAAGGCCACCUCCAACUGUGGAUGAGCUUCUUCCCAGUUCCUAUCUAGUGUGGAAUCUGUUUUACAGUUCCUCCAUUCCUCUAUCCUCAUCGGGCAGCCCCACGGAAUCCGGAGCCCCCAGCUGCCCCCCAACUGCCUCCAACUCCUCCCCACAAUCACCCCGCGUGUCUGUAAUUACACUGGGCACAUCACCCUGCGUGUCUGUAAUUACACUGGGCACAUCAUUCUCUGUUGUCUGUGAGACAGGCGUAUCAGCCUUGGAGUCAGCAUUGCCACUGCCCUCGGUAACCACUGCUGGGAGUUCAGUCACUAACACGCCCGCCCCUGAGCUCUCCGCCACAGCAAUCUCGGCUACAUCAACAUUAACGUCAUCAGUAUGUACCGAACUGAUACACAAAACAACUCUGGAUUCAAACUUAGAUAGUUAUAAAACAAUUAUUGCAACCAAUAGAAUGUUAUAUACAGUAUGUUGGGGAUACAACCAAUAGAAUGUUAUAUACAGUAUGUUGGGGAUACAACCAAUAGAAUGUUAUAUACAGUAUGUUGGGGAUACAACCAAUAGAAUGUUAUAUACAGUAUGUUGGGGAUACAACCAAUAGAAUGUUAUAUACAGUAUGUUGGGGAUACAACCAUCCCAGCUCUGCAGAUGUUUCUGCGAAGAGAUAGAAUCAUUAGAUCAUUUGUUUCUGGCCUCUAUGUCAAUUUUUUUUAUGGUAAAGGUCUUUAUUUUUUUAUUUACAUAUUUAAUACAUUUUGGGUAUUGAAGAUGCACUCUGUUCAUUCUCCAUAUUCUGACACUAAGUGUAUUUUAUGUUGGUGUAAUUAAGCAUGAUACAAGAGAAUGAUCCGAUAUCAAUAAUCAUGGAUUUUUUAACCCAGUGUAUUGUUGAGUGGAUUUUUGGAAAUAAAAAUGCAAUUCUGAGUAGCUUUUCUUAAUUUGAAACAAAAAAAGAGUAGUCUUUUGUAGUUGGGAAUAAUAAUCUUCUGGUGUUCUGUAAAAUAUUUGUAGAGAUUACAUUUUUCAUCCUCUUUGGCAGGUAAGAAUUUCACUGUAAGGUCUACACCUGUUGUAUUCUGCGCAUGUGACAAAUAAAAUUGGAUUUAAUUUGAAUUAAAUUAGCCUUUUUUAUUUAUUUAUAUGUUUGUCUAAAUGUGUGAUUUAGGUUGCCUCCUAAAUUAAUAUUUCCUGUCUGGGUUUGAUUUAAUAUCGAUUGAAUGCUAUUUAAACACACCAGGUUUGCCCCUACGGGGAUAUACAAUACACUCAAUGUGUAUCUUUCACCAUGUAAGGUGCAAUUCAAAAUGAGAACCUCUUUCUUGGUCUGUAUGCUGGGAUAUAAGGGAAAAUUAUGUAUUCUUAUUUAUCAGGAUGCCUACACCUCUACUGUUACUACAGUAGGUGGCAGCAUUGGCUUCUCUAACCCAGCUACUCUUUAAAUAUUACAUUUCAAACAUUUUUAAGUGUAACUCUUGCAGGAAAACCACAUCUGCUGACAAUCUCUUUAGAUGUUCAUGAACCUUAUGCUUUUUUUGGACAUCAUGAAGCCUAUGCACAUUCCAUGUAAAAAGCUGGAUUUUUUUGGCCUUUGUUGGCCUUGACUUAUGUGAAGAAUCAUAGUUAUGGAUGGAAAUUACAAGUGUAAUGGCUGUGCUCAAUGCAAUGGCACUUAUAAAUGUAGAUCCUUCAAACACCCCCAAACAGGGAAAUCUAUCCCAAUUAAAGGUGUUAUUACGUGUUCCACUAAGGCAGUUAUUUAUCUUAUAACUUGUCCUUGUGGUAAAAAUUAUGUGGGUAAAACAAAGCGUGAAUUAAAAGUACGUAUCUCAGAGCAUCGUAGCACCAUUAGGUGCAAAAACUUAACUUACCCAGUUGCGGCCCACUUUUUGGAAGCAAACCAUCCGAUUUCGUCUCUGUGUUAUAUUGGUAUCGAACAUGUCACCCUCCCGAGGAGAGGGGGUGACCUUGAUACUUUAUUGUUAAAACAAGAGGCUGCCUGGAUCUUUAAUUUAAAGACCCUUGCUCCCUUCGAUCUCAACAUAGACUUUGAUCUGAAGCCAUUCUUGUGAUAAUUGUGAUUUUGCCAUUGUAAUUGUUUGUUAGAUACAUUUUAGACUACAAAUGCUAUGAUCGUAUGCUAUCCAUUUGUUUGUCUUUUUGUAUGUUCUUUGUAUGCCAUUUUUUAAAAUAUUUGAGUUAACCAAUGAUAUUAGGCCAUACUUGGCCAUGAUUACAAACACCUGUGUGUCUCUUGACACUAUAUAAAUGACUCAUCUCGCAGUGUUUGAUGAUACCCUGAUGAAGAC